AAUGUCCGGGAGGAAAAUAACAGACUGAUGCUUUUGAAGUGCCUCUUACACCCACCCCCUUUCCCCUGGGCAUUCUCACGUCAAAGCCGCUGAGAGAGGUGAGAGUUGGUGGUGUGACUCUAUGCAGUGAAUGCGUCCAGGUAUUGUGUCCAGCUGUGCCAUAGCAGCACGUCCGUUGCAGUGUUGUGUCUCUCCAUGGUGCACACAUAGGAUUCCUUCCCAGGUGUGUCUGCCACCCCUCGGGAGCCGCGUAAGCUAUUCAUUGUGCUAAAAUACAACAAAGGAACCAACCCCAAGGCAGGGUGUAGGCUACCACUGUAUGCGGAGGGCUGCAAGGAAGAGAGGUAGUAGCGAUCAGGUGUUGCACAAGCUUUUGCUGAUGCCUGCCGGGGCUGGGGGGCGGGGAGGAAGCGGGUACUUGCCACUUAUGUGAUGGCUGUAAGUGUGGGAAGCCGAGUGGCUCUCUCGUUUGUGGAGCUUCUGUUGUCCAUGUCAGUUACAAUAGAGGCUUUUGCUCCAGCCACAAAACAUAAUCGGAGAACAGCUCCUUGGCUUGCUGCUUCUCUUAUUCCGCCCCACCCCCCACAUCUGGGACAGACCUGGUUAUAGUUUUUCUGAACACUUUCCACCGCCUGCUAUGUCCCGAACCAUUUCCUGUGCUCUAAGCUCCGUCCAGAUCAACAGCCUCCAGUUGCAAUAUGCAAUCGGAGACUGUCCACACUAGAUGCCAAAGCAGCGCCUGGUUCUGUCUCAGCCCAUCACGCUGGGCUCAGCUUGUGUGGGGGAGAAAACCUUGCUGCCACCGCAGGUGCUUUCCUGGUCUGCUCUGAGAAGCCUGGCUGAAGAGAUCGGUAACUUUGAGAGAUUUGGAUCUGUUGAUUGUUUUACACAAAUUGUUUUCAAGGCAAAAGGUGUCUUUGGAGAUCAACCGAGGUCCGCGCAUGCGUUGGUCUGUUGGGAAUUAUUGCUCUGCCUUGGACUAAGUUGCAUUCCUUGGAUCUUCGGAGAAAAGCCAAUUCUGCAGACAGAGUUAGGAAUGUGGACAGUUCACAGUCGAGAGUAUUUUGGGAUUCUCUCGUUCCCGGUGAUGCUAGCCAUGGUCUGCUGUGCGCAAAGCGUUAAUGAGCCUAGCAACAUGUCAUACGUGAAAGAGACAGUGGACAGAUUGCUCCAUGGAUACGACAUUCGCUUGAGGCCAGACUUUGGAGGUGCUCCUGUUGACGUCGGGAUGAGGAUAGACAUUGCCAAUAUAGACAUGGUUUCAGAGGUCAACAUGGACUACACACUUACAAUGUAUUUCCAGCAGUCCUGGAGGGACAAAAGGCUGUCUUACUCUGGAAUACCUUUGAACCUAACUUUGGACAAUAGAGUAGCUGACCAGCUCUGGGUGCCGGACACAUACUUCCAAAAUGACAAGAAGUCAUAUGUUCACGGGGUUACAGUGAAAAAUCGAAUGAUUCGACUACAUCCUGAUGGAACAGUCCUUUAUGGCCUACGGAUUACAACCACAGCUGCUUGCAUGAUGGAUCUACGCAGAUACCCUCUGGAUGAACAAAACUGCACACUAGAAAUUGAAAGUUAUGGAUACACCACUGAUGAUAUUGAGUUUUACUGGAAUGGAGGGGAAUCUGCAGUAACAGGAGUUAAUAAUAUUGAGCUCCCACAGUUCUCAAUUGUUGAUUACAAGAUGGUAUCAAAAAAAGUGGAAUUUACAACAGGGGCAUAUCCUCGAUUAUCACUUAGUUUUCGGCUUAAACGAAAUAUUGGUUACUUCAUUUUGCAAACCUACAUGCCUUCCACGUUGAUCACAAUUCUAUCGUGGGUAUCUUUUUGGAUCAACUAUGAUGCCUCUGCUGCAAGAGUUGCCCUAGGAAUCACAACUGUGUUGACCAUGACCACAAUCAGCACUCAUCUCAGGGAGACACUGCCAAAGAUUCCCUAUGUAAAGGCAAUAGAUAUUUACCUAAUGGGAUGCUUUGUGUUUGUAUUUCUGGCCUUGCUGGAAUAUGCCUUUGUAAACUACAUAUUCUUUGGGAAAGGCCCUCACCGUCAAAAAAAAGCAGCUGAGAAGGCUACUGAUGAGAAGGGCAAACCAGAGAUGAAUAAAGUCCAGGUUGAUGCCCAAGGAAACAUUCUUCUUACGACUCUGGAAUUAAGAAAUGAGAUCAGCAGCUCAGAAGUGUUCACAGGUAUCAGUGACCCAAGAGCCACCAUGUAUUCAUAUGACAGUGCCAGCAUCCAGUAUAGAAGACCCAUCUCAAGCAGAGAACUCUACAGCAGAAGCACUUUGGACAGGCAUAUGGUUCAUAAAAAGGGGAAUUUACGAAGAAGGGCAUCACAGCUCAGAGUCAAAAUCCCAGAUCUGACAGAUGUUAAUUCUAUAGACAAAUGGUCAAGGAUGGUCUUUCCUAUCACAUUCAUUAUUUUCAAUGUAGUUUAUUGGCUUUACUAUAUCCACUAAUAUAUGCACUGAUCAUCCCAUCCCUAGAUUUCUUUUCUUCCCUUCAUUUUGUUAACUCUCCAGGACUGCAGUAGCCAUAAUGCUACAUUUCCAAGAUCUGUUAUCCACAUUUCCUGCACUACCACAAUAUGACCAUUUGUUUAGGAGCCCCGCACUGAUAAUUAAUGAAAAGGAUGGUCAUAAUAUCCCACCAAACUAUUAACAGAGUGGCCCAGGGGCUGAACAGGAAACAUUCUCAGAGUAGUUAGUUAAUAAUCUCCAGAGGCAGAAUAAAACAGGCAACUUAAAUCUGACAUUCCCUAACUGCAAGUAAAGUUACCAUGGACUGCUCAUGUGGUACUGAAGCCCAGACUGAACUGUAAGUAUUUUGUUUACUCCUUAUGACAUUAGUAACUUUUUAUUUUAUAACUCUUUUUGUAUUUCUUAACUUCUUAAGAUAGGAUAACCUCUUGCCUCGGGCAGAACUGGUGCCAGUCUCACAAUCAUCCCCUUUUGGCCUUGUCUACCUAUUACUUUCUUAUUUUGGCGGGACCUGCCCAAUUGCUGCGAAGAGCCGGAUGUGCCGCCCCUUUCCGUUGGCCGC
Gopherus evgoodei (Goodes thornscrub tortoise) is the source of this 3044-nucleotide RNA transcript. It is a transcript of the gene named gamma-aminobutyric acid type A receptor beta1 subunit, with no coding region annotated. The record is from RefSeq and is a predicted model, not a curated record. Lineage: Eukaryota; Metazoa; Chordata; Testudines; Testudinidae. The transcript has 10 exons.